Molecule: long non-coding RNA, 972 nt
Organism: Oryza sativa Japonica Group (Japanese rice)
Lineage: Eukaryota; Viridiplantae; Streptophyta; Magnoliopsida; Poales; Poaceae
Source: RefSeq, a predicted model, not a curated record
AUGAUUUUAUCGUAGAAAGUCCAGUUCAAUUACUUGAAGCAAUUGCAUAGCCCAAUUUUCACAUGGUUUAAUCUGUUUGAAAUGCCAUAUUGCCAUGGAUACAAGAUGAGCAAGAUAUAUUUCUCAUUUCAUACAAUCAAGACACAAUGUACAAAAAAGAAAAUGAAAUUAUGCAAUAUGCCCUAUUUUUUCUUUUUCGAGUAAAUUCCUUGUGUGCCCCUGAAAAGUUACCCAAUCCCUUACAUGCCCCUGGAACUUACUCAAUUCCUUCUAUACCCCCGAAUUUUCGAUUGGAUCCCCUACAUACCCCUACCGUUUGGGUUCCGUCAGAUGUUUGUGUUCAUGUGUGUGUUAGCUUGUCAGUAUUUUCAUAAAAUGCGAAAAUGCCCCUGUCAACCCUAGGUAACACAGGGCCACAUCCGAUCCCCAAAUCCUCCAAAAUAGUAUAGUUCCCACACGCACGGUGCCGCACAUCGCCAGCUUUCAGCCAUCGUUGCACGCGCAUCGCCGCCCUUCUCCCACAUCCCGGCGGCGGCAACGGCUCUGCAUCCCGCCGCGGUCUCGGCUCUGCUUGCGGUCAGCGGCGGCGGCUAGGUCCGCAUCCCAUCAGUGGCGCGGCGGGGUCCGCAUCUGGUGGGCGGCGGCGGCUUUGCAUCCCGCCGCGGCGACGAGUCCGCAUCCCGCCGCGGCCUCGACUCUGCUUGCGGUCAUGGCGACGCCAUCUCCUCCCUGCCUCCUCCGCGCCCUCCCUCUUGUCACCUCACCCUCUUCUCGGGGGCUCCGACGCCGGCCUAUUACCUCCUUGCUCCGCUGCUCCUCGCCGUCGGCGGAUGCCUUGAACUGUUAUGGGCUUGUGCCAUUAUGCUCAUGAUGUAAAAAGUAAUAUAUUUGUGUACUGCUGAUGGUGUAUGAAUGCUUUUAGAUGUAUUUUCAUUUUCUUCCUAUUAAAUGGUGCUACCGAUCCUCUUGAUA